CAAUUAAGAGCUAAAAAAAACAAACAACAUAUGCAAUAUACAUCAGAAAAAUCCCAUAAAAAAUGAGGGGAAACUUCACUUAUGGCCUAACCAAAACCAGACCACCUACUCUUAGCGUUCUAGACAUAGCAUCGAGUUUGAUGAGGGCUUUGAAAAGAGGAGGAAUCCUCCCCGUUCCACACUAGGGGGAAAACGAGGCUUGUUGUCACUCCGAAGGGAGCAGUCAAACUUAGCAUUGAGUUUGACGAGGGCUUUGAAAAGAGGAGGAAUCCUCCCCGUUCCAUAGUAGGGGGAAAACGAGGCUUGUUGUCACUCCGAAGGGAGCAGUCAAACUUAGAAACUAAGUCUAGAACCAUAGAAAGGUUACCCCACCGGUUCUUGUGUGCGUACCAAAGAAACAAAAGAGAUAGUUGCAAAUGUAAAACGUAAAACAGUGACACAAUUAAGAGCUAAAAAAAACAAACAACAUAUGCAAUAUACAUCAGAAAAAUCCCAUAAAAAAUGAGGGGAAACUUCACUUAUGGCCUAACCAAAACCAGACCACCUACUCUUAGCGUUCUAGACAUAGCAUCGAGUUUGAUGAGGGCUUUGAAAAGAGGAGGAAUCCUCCCCGUUCCACACUAGGGGGAAAACGAGGCUUGUUGUCACUCCGAAGGGAGCAGUCAAACUUAGAAACUAAGUCUAGAACCAUAGAAAGGUUACCCCACCGGUUCUUGUGUGCGUACCAAAGAAACAAAAGAGAUAGUUGCAAAUGUAAAACGUAAAACAACGAGACAAUUAAGAGCUAAAAAAAACAAACAACAUAUGCAUUAUACAUCAGAAAAAUCCCAUUCAGAUUGUUUUAUCUUCUCAUGUUGGGCUACUUCCAAGCAAUGUUUUAAGCGAAGGGUGGAUAAUAGCUCACUUGUUUAGUCUAAACUUGGGGAUUUCAAAUUUUGUCCAAAUUUCAAAAUUUUUCAAAAGUUUUUCAUUACAAUAAUGAGCAUCAUAGCUUCUUAGAUCUUGCAUAAAAGGCAUGACUGUCAACCCUUGAGCACUAAGCUCGGGUUUGUGACGUGAGAUUCUGA
This 1067-nucleotide long non-coding RNA is filed under the name Cucumis sativus (cucumber). RNAcentral describes it as "long non-coding RNA (CSAT_LNC003174)". Lineage: Eukaryota; Viridiplantae; Streptophyta; Magnoliopsida; Cucurbitales; Cucurbitaceae. The record is from RNAcentral.